AAGAAGAAGAAGACGAAGAAGAAGAAGAAGAAGAAGAAGAAGAAGAAGAAGAAGAAGAAGAAGAAGAAGAAGAAGAAGAAGAAGAAGAAGAAGAAGAAGAAGAGGACCACACUGACAGAACGAUUACAUAGCAGGCGGAUAAUGUGCUAUGAGGCCAGAUCCUUAAAUACUGUGGUUGGAAUCUUAAAUUUCUUUUGUUGCUAUGACCCAAAGGGAAAUUUUGAAAGAAAAGAGUUGGCUGUCACUGGAAGACACACAGAGCUGCAUUUUCCUGAUGUGUUUCUUCUUCUUUGAGCUCUUCUGGAGUAAGGAACAUUCAGUGUCUGGUCCUGGGGAUGGAACUUGGCCAUUAGGCUUGGUGGCAAGCAAGACACUGACAAUCCUUUUCUUUUAUCAUUUGAAGUGAGGUAUGAAUUAAUUUUGAAAAAUCAGGUUGGCUAGAUGUUGUGGUUUGAAUGAGACUAGCCCCUAUAGGUUCAUAUACAUGAAUGCAUUGUUCACUGGUAGUGGAAUUGUUUAGGAAGGAUUAGGAGUUGUGGCUUUGUUGGAAGAUGUAUAUCACUGGGGGCAGGGGGUGGGGCUUUGAAGUUUCAAAAGCCUAUGCCAGGCCCAAUGUUGUUCUCUCUCUGGCAGCUACCAAUGGGUCAGAAUGUAAAGUUUUCAGCUACUGCUACUGUAACAUUCCUGUGUGCUCCCUGCCUUGAUGAUUCUGGACUAACCCUCUGAACCUGCAAGCAAAUCCCUAAUUAAAUGCUUUCUUUAUAAGGAUUGACUUGUUCAUGGUAUCUCUUUAGCAGUAGAACUGAAGCUAAGACCCCAGAUGAAGGGUAAAGUUUUACAAAGUAUAUUUGGAAGAGUUAAGAGACUAGAUGGCAGAAAAAAAGACUGGAAAAAGUACUUAUUGUUGUUAUUAUAUUAUGAUGAUGAUUUAACUGUCUUGUAUUUCAUAUAAAAUUCUCUAUUUCAGAAUUCUCUUUUCUAUGUAAUUAUAUUUUGUUUUUAACAUAUAUAUGUAAACAUAUUAGUGUAAAUAUAUUUAUCAUCUAAACGCUUUCUGCAUGGGGGCAUGUAAAUUUUGGUUUGAAUUAAGAUUUCUAGAACACUGAUAUUAGAAUAAAUUUGUAUAAUUUAGACUGGUAUGAAGGGGUGGCUUGAAAAUCUUAGAACGCCUGGCAAGAUUUAUUGUUCUCUAUUCUAUUUAACAUUGGUUUCUGGAAAAAAAGUGACACAGGAAUUUGUCAACAGAGAAAUUAUUCUUAGUCUUGGAAAGUCUUCUGUUAGGAAUUUGACUUGUUUUAUGCCUUAGCAGAUCAGUUGCAAUGAAGAUCUUAGAUCCACUUUUGCUUCAUUUUAUGAAAUCCUCAAACCCAGAACAUCUCUUAUGCA
This is a non-coding RNA of Rattus norvegicus (Norway rat), 1386 nucleotides long. Lineage: Eukaryota; Metazoa; Chordata; Mammalia; Rodentia; Muridae. The record is from RefSeq and is a predicted model, not a curated record.